RNAcentral lists this ribosomal RNA (301 nucleotides) under uncultured bacterium. RNAcentral's name for it is "partial 16S ribosomal RNA". It matches the Rfam family "Bacterial small subunit ribosomal RNA", at positions 509 to 809 of the family's 1533-position model. The record is from RNAcentral.
CAGCAGCCGCGGGAAAACGGAGGGUGCAAGCGUUAUCCGGAUUUAUUGGGUUUAAAGGGUGCGUAGACGGCUCAUUAAGUCAGGGGUGAAAGACGGUAGCUUAACUAUCGCAGUGCCUUUGAUACUGAUGAGCUUGAAUGUAGUUGAGGUAGGCGGAAUGUGACAAGUAGCGGUGAAAUGCAUAGAUAUGUCACAGAACACCAAUUGCGAAGGCAGCUUACUAAAGUAUGAUUGACGCUGAGGCACGAAAGCGUGGGGAUCAAACAGGAUUAGAUACCCCUGUAGUCCCUGUCUCUUAUAA